This 222-nucleotide ribosomal RNA is filed under the name Staphylococcus aureus. RNAcentral's name for it is "partial 16S ribosomal RNA". It matches the Rfam family "Bacterial small subunit ribosomal RNA", at positions 1 to 215 of the family's 1533-position model. Lineage: Bacteria; Bacillati; Bacillota; Bacilli; Caryophanales; Staphylococcaceae. The record is from RNAcentral.
UUUUAUGGAGAGUUUGAUCCUGGCUCAGGAUGAACGCUGGCGGCGUGCCUAAUACAUGCAAGUCGAGCGAACGGACGAGAAGCUUGCUUCUCUGAUGUUAGCGGCGGACGGGUGAGUAACACGUGGAUAACCUACCUAUAAGACUGGGAUAACUUCGGGAAACCGGAGCCAAUUACGGAUAAUAUUUUGAACCGCACGGUUCAAAAGUGAAAGAAGGUCUUG